UACGUAGGGGGCAAGCGUUGUCCGGAAUUAUUGGGCGUAAAGCGCGCGCAGGCGGUUUCUUAAGUCUGGGGUUUAAGUUCGGGGCUCAACCCCGUAUCGCCCUGGAAACUGGGGAACUGGAGUGUAGGAGAGGAAAGUGGAAUUCCACGUGUAGCGGUGAAAUGCGUAGAGAUGUGGAGGAACACCAGUGGCGAAGGCGACUUUCUGGCCUAUAACUGACGAUGAGGCGCGAAAGCGUGGGGAGCAAACAGG
Molecule: ribosomal RNA, 252 nt
Filed under: uncultured bacterium
Lineage: Bacteria
Description: partial 16S ribosomal RNA
Rfam family: Bacterial small subunit ribosomal RNA
Source: RNAcentral